AGCGAACAGACGAGGAGCUUGCUCCUCUGACGUUAGCGGCGGACGGGUGAGUAACACGUGGAUAACCUACCUAUAAGACUGGGAUAACUUCGGGAAACCGGAGCUAAUACCGGAUAAUAUAUUGAACCGCAUGGUUCAAUAGUGAAAGACGGUUUUGCUGUCACUUAUAGAUGGAUCCGCGCCGCAUUAGCUAGUUGGUAAGGUAACGGCUUACCAAGGCAACGAUGCGUAGCCGACCUGAGAGGGUGAUCGGCCACACUGGAACUGAGACACGGUCCAGACUCCUACGGGAGGCAGCAGUAGGGAAUCUUCCGCAAUGGGCGAAAGCCUGACGGAGCAACGCCGCGUGAGUGAUGAAGGUCUUCGGAUCGUAAAACUCUGUUAUUAGGGAAGAACAAAUGUGUAAGUAACUAUGCACGUCUUGACGGUACCUAAUCAGAAAGCCACGGCUAACUACGUGCCAGCAGCCGCGGUAAUACGUAGGUGGCAAGCGUUAUCCGGAAUUAUUGGGCGUAAAGCGCGCGUAGGCGGUUUUUUAAGUCUGAUGUGAAAGCCCACGGCUCAACCGUGGAGGGUCAUUGGAAACUGGAAAACUUGAGUGCAGAAGAGGAAAGUGGAAUUCCAUGUGUAGCGGUGAAAUGCGCAGAGAUAUGGAGGAACACCAGUGGCGAAGGCGACUUUCUGGUCUGUAACUGACGCUGAUGUGCGAAAGCGUGGGGAUCAAACAGGAUUAGAUACCCUGGUAGUCCACGCCGUAAACGAUGAGUGCUAAUGGUUAAGGGGGUUUCCGCCCCUUAGUGCUGCAGCUAACGCAUUAAGCACUCCGCCUGGGGAGUACGACCGCAAGGUUGAAACUCAAAGGAAUUGACG
RNAcentral lists this ribosomal RNA (870 nucleotides) under Staphylococcus sp. RNAcentral describes it as "bacterial SSU rRNA". It matches the Rfam family "Bacterial small subunit ribosomal RNA", at positions 65 to 915 of the family's 1533-position model. Lineage: Bacteria; Bacillati; Bacillota; Bacilli; Caryophanales; Staphylococcaceae. The record is from RNAcentral.